UGAAGAAGGCCUUCGGGUUGUAAAGCCCUUUUGUUGGGAAAGAAAUCCAGCCGGCUAAUACCUGGUUGGGAUGACGGUACCCAAAGAAUAAGCACCGGCUAACUUCGUGCCAGCAGCCGCGGUAAUACGAAGGGUGCAAGCGUUACUCGGAAUUACUGGGCGUAAAGCGUGCGUA
Molecule: ribosomal RNA, 175 nt
Filed under: Stenotrophomonas maltophilia
Lineage: Bacteria; Pseudomonadati; Pseudomonadota; Gammaproteobacteria; Lysobacterales; Lysobacteraceae
Description: partial 16S ribosomal RNA
Rfam family: Bacterial small subunit ribosomal RNA
Source: RNAcentral